UACGGAGGGUGCGAGCGUUAUCCGGAUUUAUUGGGUUUAAAGGGUGCGCAGGCGGCACGGCAAGCCGGCGGUCAAAUCGCGGGGCUCAACCCCGCCCAGCCGUCGGAACUGCCGGGCUAGAGUGGGCGAGAAGUGCGCGGAAUGCGUGGUGUAGCGGUGAAAUGCAUAGAUAUCACGCAGAACUCCGAUUGCGAAGGCAGCGCACCGGCGCCCUACUGACGCUCAGGCACGAAAGCGUGGGUAUCGAACAGG
RNAcentral lists this ribosomal RNA (252 nucleotides) under uncultured bacterium. Its description in RNAcentral is "partial 16S ribosomal RNA". It matches the Rfam family "Bacterial small subunit ribosomal RNA", at positions 524 to 776 of the family's 1533-position model. The record is from RNAcentral.